RNAcentral lists this ribosomal RNA (465 nucleotides) under uncultured bacterium. RNAcentral's name for it is "partial 16S ribosomal RNA". It matches the Rfam family "Bacterial small subunit ribosomal RNA", at positions 28 to 507 of the family's 1533-position model. The record is from RNAcentral.
GACGAACGCUGGCGGCGUGCUUAACACAUGCCAGUCGUACGGUAAGGCCCUUUCGGGGGUCCACGAGUGGCGAACGGGGGAGUAACACGUGAGUAACCUGCCCACAACUUUGGGAUAACGCUAGGAAACUGGUGCCAAUACUGGAUCUGUGCUCCUUCUGCAUGGGGGGGGUUGGAAAGCUCCGGGGGGUGUUGAUGGACUCGCGGGGUAGCGGCUUGUUGGUGGGGUAGUGGGCUACCGAGGCGGCGUAGGGUAGCCGGCCUGCGGGGGUGACCGGCCAUACAGGGACCGAGAUGCGGCCCAGGCUGCGACGGGUGGGAGAAGUGGGGAAGAUUGCACGAUGGGCGCAGGCUGGAUGCAGAAACGCCGCGGGCGGGAUGACGGUCUUCGGGUUGAAAACCGAUUUCAGCAGGGACGAAGCUUUUUGUGACGGUACCUGCAGAAGAAGCACCGGCUAACUACGUG